Molecule: ribosomal RNA, 491 nt
Filed under: uncultured bacterium
Lineage: Bacteria
Description: partial 16S ribosomal RNA
Rfam family: Bacterial small subunit ribosomal RNA
Source: RNAcentral
AGUGAACGCUGGCGGUAGGCCUAACACAUGCAAGUCGAACGGCAGCACAGUAAGAGCUUGCUCUUACGGGUGGCGAGUGGCGGACGGGUGAGGAAUACAUCGGAAUCUACUUUUUCGUGGGGGAUACGUAGGGAAACUUACGCUAAUACCGCAUACGACCUACGGGUGAAAGCAGGGGAUCUUCGGACCUUGCGCGAUUGAAUGAGCCGAUGUCGGAUUAGCUAGUUGGCGGGGUAAAGGCCCACCAAGGCGACGAUCCGUAGCUGGUCUGAGAGGAUGAUCAGCCACACUGGAACUGAGACACGGUCCAGACUCCUACGGGAGGCAGCAGUGGGGAAUAUUGGACAAUGGGCGCAAGCCUGAUCCAGCCAUACCGCGUGGGUGAAGAAGGCCUUCGGGUUGUAAAGCCCUUUUGCUGGGAAAGAAAAGCAGCAGGUUAAUACCCCGCUGUUCUGACGGUACCCAAAGAAUAAGCACCGGCUAACUUCGUG